This 500-nucleotide ribosomal RNA is filed under the name uncultured bacterium. RNAcentral describes it as "partial 16S ribosomal RNA". It matches the Rfam family "Bacterial small subunit ribosomal RNA", at positions 29 to 523 of the family's 1533-position model. The record is from RNAcentral.
AUUGAACGCUGGCGGCAUGCCUUACACAUGCAAGUCGAACGGCAGCACGGGAGCAAUCCUGGUGGCGAGUGGCGAACGGGUGAGUAAUAUAUCGGAACGUGCCCAGUAGUGGGGGAUAACUGCUCGGAAGAGCAGCUAAUACCGCAUACGACCUGAGGGUGAAAGCGGGGGAUCGCAAGACCUCGCGCUAUUGGAGCGGCCGAUAUCAGAGUAGCUAGUUGGUGGGGUAAAAGCUCACCAAGGCGACGAUCUGUAGCUGGUCUGAGAGGACGACCAGCCACACUGGGACUGAGACACGGCCCAGACUCCUACGGGAGGCAGCAGUGGGGAAUUUUGGACAAUGGGCGCAAGCCUGAUCCAGCCAUGCCGCGUGCGGGAAGAAGGCCUUCGGGUUGUAAACCGCUUUUGUCAGGGAAGAAACGGCUCCUACUAAUACUGGGGGCUAAUGACGGUACCUGAGGAAUAAGCACCGGCUAACUACGUGCCAGCCGCCGCAGUAA